Molecule: ribosomal RNA, 485 nt
Filed under: uncultured bacterium
Lineage: Bacteria
Description: partial 16S ribosomal RNA
Rfam family: Bacterial small subunit ribosomal RNA
Source: RNAcentral
ACUCAAAUGAAUUGACGGGGGCUCGCACAAGCGGUGGAGCGUGUGGCUUAAUUCGUCGCCAAGCGAAGAACCUUACCAAGAUUAGAAAUCCUACUGCACGCCUUGUGAAAGCAAGGAAGCCUUCGAGGGUGUAGGACAGGUGAUGCAUGGCUGUCGUCAGUUCGUGGUUUGAAUUGUUCCCUUCAGUGGGGUAACGAACGCAACCCUUAUUGCCUGUUACAAGUGUCAGGCGAGACUGCCCCUUCACAGGGGAGGAAGGUGAGGAUGACGCCAAGUCAGCAUGUCCCUCUGAUAUCUUGGGCUGCACACGCGCUACAAUGGUAAAUAACAACGGGGCGCAACGCCGAGAGGCUGAGCAAAUCCUUAAAUAUUACCUCAGUUCGGAUCGUAGUCUGCAACUCGACUACGUGAAGUUGGAAUCGCUAGUAAUCGCGGGUCAGCACACCGCGGUGAAUACGUUCUCGAGCCUUGUACACACCGCCCGU